Molecule: non-coding RNA, 30 nt
Filed under: Mus musculus (house mouse)
Lineage: Eukaryota; Metazoa; Chordata; Mammalia; Rodentia; Muridae
Source: RNAcentral
UCUCAGCGUCUUUGAGAUCACCAAAUCUGC